RNAcentral lists this ribosomal RNA (464 nucleotides) under uncultured bacterium. RNAcentral describes it as "partial 16S ribosomal RNA". It matches the Rfam family "Bacterial small subunit ribosomal RNA", at positions 28 to 507 of the family's 1533-position model. The record is from RNAcentral.
GACGAACGCUGGCGGCGUGCUUAACACAUGCAAGUCGAACGGAAAUGCCCUGCUUGCAGGGUACUCGAGUGGCGAACGGGUGAGUAACACGUGGGUGAUCUGCCCUGCACUUCGGGAUAAGCCUGGGAAACUGGGUCUAAUACCGGAUAGGAGCCAUUUUUAGUGUGAUGGUUGGAAAGUUUUUUCGGUGUAGGAUGAGCUCGCGGCCUAUCAGCUUGUUGGUGGGGUAAUGGCCUACCAAGGCGGCGACGGGUAGCCGGCCUGAGAGGGUGGACGGCCACAUUGGGCUGAGAUACGGCCCAGACACCUACGGGAGGAAGCAGUGGGGAAUAUUGAACAAUGGGCGCAAGCCUGAUGCAGAGAGGCCGCGUGGGGGAUGACGGCCUUCGGGUUGUAAACUCCUUUCGCUAGGGACGAAGCUUUUUGUGACGGUACCUAGAUAAGAAGCACCGGCUAACUACGUG